UUAUUAAUACGAUUUAAACGUUGUCUAUCGUACAAUUUCUUUUUUCAUAUAUAUAUAAAAAUAAUAAAUAAAAAUAAUUAAAGUUGCAUUUUGAGGAAAAAAGGUAAUAAGUAAAAUUCCACGAAAUUGCAGACACAUAAUUUUCAAGAGCUUCCCUUUAUGACCUCGAUGGAUCUUCCUUGAGGUUGGUCGUCUUUCGAGGACGACACUGAAAAUAUAAUACCAACGACAACCAGUCUAACACGGAUCCUUUGUGGUCGUAGUGGGAUCGUAUUUCCCCGGUAUAACAUUUAACCACUAGUCUUUUGGAUAGAAUGUCGAUAGACAGAACAUGGAUCAAAUGACGACAAUUUUGUUAGUUAAAUUAAUCGAAGAGAAUAUAUAUACAUAACGUCUUGAAAGAAUUAAAUCUUCUCUCAAUUGAUUAACGAGAGAUGAAAUAUCAUAAUAAUAUGGAACAUUGGAACAUAUAGAGGAUAGAAGAUUAUAAUAGAAGAAAUUUUCCAGAGAGCCUCUACUAUUUGUAUCGUUGAAUUAAAAUUACAUAGUUAAGUGUAUUUAUUUAGGUCGUAUUAGACCGACAUCGUCAGUGGUUUAAACUUAAUUAUGGUUGGUCUGGUAUUAUAUCUAGUAAUAUUGAUAUAUAACGUAAUGACAUAACUCUGGAAUUAACUCUGGAAAUUACUCACGAGAGGGCAACUAACAAGUGACACUCCUGAGGGCAAUACUUCAAGGUAAAAUGCCAAUACAACAAUUUUUAUUCCUCGACGGUAUAUAAUAAUUUCAGACACAAUUACAAAUCAGCUUAAUCAUUAUACUUAAAAAGUGAUUUCAACGUCGAAGGAAAAUUCACACAAAUAAUACCCUAAAAGAAAAUAGUUGGAUAUAGACGGAGGAAAUUUUUUUCAAGAUUUUCUUAACGGGCGAAAAAAUUUAAACUAAACCCACAGCCACACGUAGCUGCAUGUUAAACGUCAAAGAGACCGCUUGUUAUUCGUGGCGAAAAAAAUUCUACGACUUUAAUUAACGUCCCGACUUUUUGUCGUAGCGAACGGCAGCCGUCCUCGAAACGCUGCGCGUCUGGUCCUCUAAUUUUUCGUUUUAAUUCACAUCUAAUGGCAUCUUCUCCACGCUCUCCAAUCCCAGCAAGUCGAGAGAGUGUGUCGUUGGCACUAUUUAUGCAACCAACGGGAACCUUUCUACUCUACCACUCGGGAGUCGGGUACAGCUCGCAGCCGGCUACAAAGUUGAGUAUUCGAGAAACCACGUUUCGAAGUCAUCCUCGAGGACUUUUUUCAACAGAGGGAAGAGCAUAAGAUGUCAUUGGACGUGAUUUCGGGCGAAUACCACUCACGAGGUUUUCAUACUUAUUUUUUUCAUCGAAGAAAUACACGUUGUUCGAAGAUGAAGGAUUUACAGUGACGACAAUAUGGAAAAAAAAAGUAGACGCGAUGAUAAUUCAUUUUAGAAAUAUAAUAGAAGUAAGUUGUAUUAUAUAAUAUAUAAUCAGGAAUUAGCAAAAUUCCAUAUCACUUCAUAUUAUAAGGUAUCUUACGUAAUUUAAACAUCUUAAAUAUUUUUAUUCUUUAUGAUAAAAAAAAUUAUAGAGAAAAUUAUUAUUUGG
This 1624-nucleotide long non-coding RNA is filed under the name Apis florea (little honeybee). RNAcentral describes it as "uncharacterized LOC105736818". Lineage: Eukaryota; Metazoa; Arthropoda; Insecta; Hymenoptera; Apidae. The record is from RNAcentral.